AGCGUUGUUCGGGAUCAUUGGGCGUAAAGGGUGAGUAGGCGGAUAUGCAAGUCUAUGUGUAAAAUACCACAGCUCAACUGUGGAACUAUGCUGGAAACUGCAUGACUAGAGUCUGAUAGGGGAAGUUAGAAUUCCUGGUGUAAGGGUGGAAUCUGUUGAUAUCAGGAAGAAUACCAGAGGCGAAGGCGAACUUCUAGGUCAAGACUGACGCUGAGUCACGAAAGCGUAGGGAGCAAACAGGAUUAGAUACCCUGGUAGUCUACGCUGUAAACGAUGCACACUUGGUGUUAAUCGAAAGGUUAGUACCGAAGCUAACGUGUUAAGUGUGCCGCCUGGGGAGUAUGUUCGCAAGAAUGAAACUCAAAGGAAUUGACGGGGGCCCGCACAAGCGGUGGAGCAUGUGGUUUAAUUCGAUGAUACGCGAGGAACCUUACC
RNAcentral lists this ribosomal RNA (435 nucleotides) under Borrelia miyamotoi. RNAcentral's name for it is "bacterial SSU rRNA". It matches the Rfam family "Bacterial small subunit ribosomal RNA", at positions 537 to 975 of the family's 1533-position model. The record is from RNAcentral. Lineage: Bacteria; Pseudomonadati; Spirochaetota; Spirochaetia; Spirochaetales; Borreliaceae.